Molecule: transfer RNA, 65 nt
Filed under: Dipetalogaster maximus
Lineage: Eukaryota; Metazoa; Arthropoda; Insecta; Hemiptera; Reduviidae
Description: tRNA-Phe
Source: RNAcentral
ACUCGAAUAGCUUAAGUUUAAAGCAAAGUAUUGAAGAUACUAGUAUAAGGUAACCUUUUUGAGUA